CUACGGGAGGCAGCAGUGGGGAAUUUUGGACAAUGGGGGCAACCCUGAUCCAGCCAUGCCGCGUGAGUGAAGAAGGCCUUCGGGUUGUAAAGCUCUUUCGGCCGGGAAGAAAUCGUGUGGGCUAAUACCCUGCAUGGAUGACGGUACCGGAAUAAGAAGCACCGGCUAACUACGUGCCAGCAGCCGCGGUAAUACGUAGGGUGCGAGCGUUAAUCGGAAUUACUGGGCGUAAAGCGUGCGCAGGCGGUUUUGUAAGACAGGCGUGAAAUCCCCGGGCUUAACCUGGGAACUGCGCUUGUGACUGCAAGGCUAGAGUACGGCAGAGGGGGGUGGAAUUCCACGUGUAGCAGUGAAAUGCGUAGAGAUGUGGAGGAACACCGAUGGCGAAGGCAGCCCCCUGGGCCGAUACUGACGCUCAUGCACGAAAGCGUGGGUAGCAAACAGGAUUAGAUACCCCUGUAGUCCG
Molecule: ribosomal RNA, 466 nt
Filed under: uncultured bacterium
Lineage: Bacteria
Description: bacterial SSU rRNA
Rfam family: Bacterial small subunit ribosomal RNA
Source: RNAcentral